UUUAUUGAGAGUUUGAUCUUGGCUCAGGACGAACGCUGGCGGCGUGCCUAACACAUGCAAGUUGAGCGAGGUUUCGAACCGAGCAGCAAACGGGUGAGUAACACGUAAGCAACCUACCUUUAAGACUGGUACAACCUGGAGAAAUCUGGGCUAAUUCCAGAUGUGACCCCGGUUUCAAAUGGAACUGGGAUUAAAUCCCGCAAGGGGCUUAAAGAUGGGCUUGCGUCCUAUCAGCUAGUUGGCGGGGUAAUGGCCCACCAAGGCAAUGACGGGUAGCUGGUCUGAGAGGACGAUCAGCCACAAGGGAACUGAGACACGGUCCCUACUCCUACGGGAGGCAGCAGUGAGGAAUUUUCCGCAAUGGGCGAAAGCCUGACGGAGCGACGCCGUGUGUGCGACGAAAUCCUUCGGGAUGUAAAGCACUGUCAGUGGGGAAGAUAUUGACGGUACCCACAGAGGAAGGCCCGGCUAACUACGUGCCAGCAGCCGCGGUAAUACGUAGGGGCCAAGCGUUGUCCGGAAUUACUGGGCG
This 532-nucleotide ribosomal RNA is filed under the name Candidatus Margulisiibacteriota bacterium. RNAcentral's name for it is "bacterial SSU rRNA". It matches the Rfam family "Bacterial small subunit ribosomal RNA", at positions 1 to 560 of the family's 1533-position model. Lineage: Bacteria; Bacillati; Candidatus Margulisiibacteriota. The record is from RNAcentral.